Molecule: ribosomal RNA, 301 nt
Filed under: uncultured bacterium
Lineage: Bacteria
Description: partial 16S ribosomal RNA
Rfam family: Bacterial small subunit ribosomal RNA
Source: RNAcentral
CAGUAGCCGCGGGAAUACGGAGGGUGCAAGCGUUAUCCGGAUUUAUUGGGUUUAAAGAGUCCGUAGGCGGACUUAUAAGUCAGUGGUGAAAGCCUGUCGCUUAACGAUAGAACUGCCAUUGAUACUGUAAGUCUUGAGUAUAUUUGAGGUAGCUGGAAUAAGUAGUGUAGCGGUGAAAUGCAUAGAUAUUACUUAGAACACCAAUUGCGAAGGCAGGUUACCAAGAUAUAACUGACGCUGAGGGACGAAAGCGUGGGUAGCGAACAGGAUUAGAUACCCCAGUAGUCCCUGUCUCUUAUAC